UCAAAGUCGGUGGCUGCCUCGUGUCCUGACGGUGGUUCGGCGUCCGCCGGGGCGGCUUCGAUGUACAUGGCGAGUGCUGCGAACAAAGCCGAUCGCCGUUGUCGAUGAUCAUAAUGAAUUUCGCUAAGCAUCCAUCCCAAGGAUUUUUCGAUAUCCGAUUGCUGCAACAGAAGAGGGACGAUUUUAGAGAUCAUCGAGGCACUUUUUCGUAUAACCAUGGUCGCGAGCACUUUUGCAGUGGAAAGAAUCACGAGCUUUAUUAAGGGGGUAGAACAUACAUAGAAGGCCACGACAACUCCUGCAGCAUAAUCUGAAGGUAAUUUGAUGGAACCACUGAAGAAUCCAUGGAGAUAAAGAUCUUGUGACGCGAAUCCAGCACCUAAAGCAACCAUCAACUGUUCAGCUUCAAAAUCCGUGAAUCUUGAAAGUAAUAAGAAAAUUCAAAGAAACUAAUGAGGCAUAGGCAGGAAUAUAAAGGAAGAAUAAACAGUAAGCACCAGUUCUCUGGUCUAGAGAGAUGUGAAUAUUUCUUCCAUCGCCAUGAAGCCUUAGGUUGGAGUCUCCAAAUAGCUGUGUGUAGCCUUCCUCAAAGGAGAGGGUGGUGAGGUUGGGCAGCUCUGGGAGACCACUAGCUGCAUUGCAAAUGUACAGAGCUGAACCAAGCAAGAGGAUGAGGAGGAAGAGUGAUGUCAAAGAAGAAGAAGAAGCCAUAUCUUCCUUUAGCUGUCACUGCUUGUUUCAGUAGGUAAUCUCAUUAAAUAGGCAACACUCCCUUUCUCUUAUGUUUCUUGAGAGAGUUGGAAAAGGAAGGCCUAGGUGUUGGAAGGUGAGCACGAGAGCUGGGAUUUUAUCGGAAGCUGAGAGAUGGAGAGAAAGAGGGGUUAAUUUAUUGGAGAUGUGAUCGAAAUCCUUUAUCUUUUUUAAUUGUUGUAAUCUUUUGUCACAUUCACAUACCUCGAUGGAGCUCAUAGAAUGGAAUCUUUGUUAGCUAAGCUGUAGUUAUAAGAAUUGAAUGCAUUAAUUAAAGCAGAGGUACUAUGAUUUAUGUAAGGUUGCACUAAUUGUGCUUUCUCAGUGUGGAAAGACCGUUCAAUGAUAACUGAUGCUCAGCCAACCCUUGGUUAUGUCACAUAUAUGACAACUUGCUCUUUGUUGCAAGCUUCAGCUAGCCAACCAUUUGGGGCUCUCUUAUGCCCCUGUAGCUGAUGCAACCCAACCACCCAUCCUAAUCUUAUCAGAUGAUUCAGAUCCAGCAAGUGCCAGCAAAUUGCCUUAAACAUCAGUAACUUCCAACAACAAUGUGCCGCUCUGCUACCAGAAAGCAAUGAUGACCCAAAAAGGAAGAACCAUUAUGUUGCACAAUCCAAAGGCACGUAGCAGUUGGCCAUUAGAAUGACGUGGCGACGGGGCCCACGUCAGCAGAACUAGCCGUUCUGUGGCUUCUGUGUCACUCCGCAUUAGAGCUAAUGUACUGGAGGCCUCCACCUCGUGAGCAUACAUAUGUAUAUAGUCGUUGGGAUCAGAGGAGAAAAACCAAGGGCCAAAAUUUGCAGGGGCGGGACUGGACCGUCCCACCCCCUUCUGCGUAAUGUUUCAAGUCCUCUCGGGACGAUCAAGUGGUUAGUACAUGAGGUGUUGAUUAAGAAUGGAUACACCAAUUGAACAAGUCAAGGGAGAUGUGAUUAAGUGGACUAAAGAGAUGGAUAGAAUUUUCAUAGAUGUUAUGUUAGAACAACAAGUUAAUGGUAACCGAAUAGGUGGCACUUUCACAUCUAGUGCGUACAAAGAUAUGAUUACCAUUUGUAGUGAAAAGAUUGAAAUCACAUUGACGAAGGAUAAUUUGAAGAACAGAAUUAAAACAUUAAAAAGUCAUUUCAAUUCAUGUUAUGAUUUGUUUAAGAAUGUAAGUGGAGUUCAAUGGCAUGCUGAAAGUAGAAGAUUUGAGAUCGAGGAGGUGGUUUA
Molecule: long non-coding RNA, 1962 nt
Organism: Zingiber officinale
Lineage: Eukaryota; Viridiplantae; Streptophyta; Magnoliopsida; Zingiberales; Zingiberaceae
Exons: 7
Source: RefSeq, a predicted model, not a curated record